UAUAGAGGGUGCAAGCGUUAAUCGGAAUUACUGGGCGUAAAGCGUGCGUAGGCGGCCUUCUAAGUCGAACGUGAAAUCCCCGGGCUCAACCCGGGAACUGCGUCCGAUACUGGAAGGCUUGAAUCCGGGAGAGGGAUGCGGAAUUCCAGGUGUAGCGGUGAAAUGCGUAGAUAUCUGGAGGAACACCGGUGGCGAAGGCGGCAUCCUGGACCGGUAUUGACGCUGAGGCGCGAAAGCCAGGGGAGCAAACGGG
This 253-nucleotide ribosomal RNA is filed under the name uncultured bacterium. RNAcentral's name for it is "partial 16S ribosomal RNA". It matches the Rfam family "Bacterial small subunit ribosomal RNA", at positions 524 to 776 of the family's 1533-position model. The record is from RNAcentral.